This 2814-nucleotide ribosomal RNA is filed under the name Klebsiella pneumoniae. RNAcentral's name for it is "bacterial LSU rRNA". It matches the Rfam family "Bacterial large subunit ribosomal RNA". Lineage: Bacteria; Pseudomonadati; Pseudomonadota; Gammaproteobacteria; Enterobacterales; Enterobacteriaceae. The record is from RNAcentral.
UUAAGCGACUAAGCGUACACGGUGGAUGCCCUGGCAGUCAGAGGCGAUGAAGGACGUGCUAAUCUGCGAAAAGCGUCGGUAAGGUGAUAUGAACCGUUAUAACCGGCGAUGUCCGAAUGGGGAAACCCAGUGUGAUUCGUCACACUAUCGUUAACUGAAUACAUAGGUUAACGAGGCGAACCGGGGGAACUGAAACAUCUAAGUACCCCGAGGAAAAGAAAUCAACCGAGAUUCCCCCAGUAGCGGCGAGCGAACGGGGAGCAGCCCAGAGUCUGAAUCAGCUUGUGUGUUAGUGGAACGGUCUGGAAAGUCCGACGGUACAGGGUGAUAGUCCCGUACACCAAAAUGCACAGGCUGUGAACUCGAAGAGUAGGGCGGGACACGUGGUAUCCUGUCUGAAUAUGGGGGGACCAUCCUCCAAGGCUAAAUACUCCUGACUGACCGAUAGUGAACCAGUACCGUGAGGGAAAGGCGAAAAGAACCCCGGCGAGGGGAGUGAAAAAGAACCUGAAACCGUGUACGUACAAGCAGUGGGAGCACCUUCGGGUGUGACUGCGUACCUUUUGUAUAAUGGGUCAGCGACUUAUAUUCUGUAGCAAGGUUAACCGUAUAGGGGAGCCGCAGGGAAACCGAGUCUUAACUGGGCGUUAAGUUGCAGGGUAUAGACCCGAAACCCGGUGAUCUAGCCAUGGGCAGGUUGAAGGUUGGGUAACACUAACUGGAGGACCGAACCGACUAAUGUUGAAAAAUUAGCGGAUGACUUGUGGCUGGGGGUGAAAGGCCAAUCAAACCGGGAGAUAGCUGGUUCUCCCCGAAAGCUAUUUAGGUAGCGCCUCGUGAACUCAUCUUCGGGGGUAGAGCACUGUUUCGGCUAGGGGGUCAUCCCGACUUACCAACCCGAUGCAAACUACGAAUACCGAAGAAUGUUAUCACGGGAGACACACGGCGGGUGCUAACGUCCGUCGUGAAGAGGGAAACAACCCAGACCGCCAGCUAAGGUCCCAAAGUCAUGGUUAAGUGGGAAACGAUGUGGGAAGGCACAGACAGCCAGGAUGUUGGCUUAGAAGCAGCCAUCAUUUAAAGAAAGCGUAAUAGCUCACUGGUCGAGUCGGCCUGCGCGGAAGAUGUAACGGGGCUAAACCAUGCACCGAAGCUGCGGCAGCGACACUAUGUGUUGUUGGGUAGGGGAGCGUUCUGUAAGCCUGCGAAGGUGUGCUGUGAGGCAUGCUGGAGGUAUCAGAAGUGCGAAUGCUGACAUAAGUAACGAUAAAGCGGGUGAAAAGCCCGCUCGCCGGAAGACCAAGGGUUCCUGUCCAACGUUAAUCGGGGCAGGGUGAGUCGACCCCUAAGGCGAGGCCGAAAGGCGUAGUCGAUGGGAAACAGGUUAAUAUUCCUGUACUUGGUGUUACUGCGAAGGGGGGACGGAGAAGGCUAUGUUAGCCGGGCGACGGUUGUCCCGGUUUAAGCAUGUAGGCUGGUUGUCCAGGCAAAUCCGGAUAAUCAAGGCUGAGGUGUGAUGACGAGGUACUACGGUGCUGAAGUAACAAAUGCCCUGCUUCCAGGAAAAGCCUCUAAGCAUCAGGUAACAUCAAAUCGUACCCCAAACCGACACAGGUGGUCAGGUAGAGAAUACCAAGGCGCUUGAGAGAACUCGGGUGAAGGAACUAGGCAAAAUGGUGCCGUAACUUCGGGAGAAGGCACGCUGGUGUGUAGGUGAAGUCCCUGCGGAUGGAGCUGAGACCAGUCGAAGAUACCAGCUGGCUGCAACUGUUUAUUAAAAACACAGCACUGUGCAAACACGAAAGUGGACGUAUACGGUGUGACGCCUGCCCGGUGCCGGAAGGUUAAUUGAUGGGGUUAUCCGUAAGGAGAAGCUCUUGAUCGAAGCCCCGGUAAACGGCGGCCGUAACUAUAACGGUCCUAAGGUAGCGAAAUUCCUUGUCGGGUAAGUUCCGACCUGCACGAAUGGCGUAAUGAUGGCCAGGCUGUCUCCACCCGAGACUCAGUGAAAUUGAACUCGCUGUGAAGAUGCAGUGUACCCGCGGCAAGACGGAAAGACCCCGUGAACCUUUACUAUAGCUUGACACUGAACAUUGAGCCUUGAUGUGUAGGAUAGGUGGGAGGCUUUGAAGCGUGGACGCCAGUCUGCGUGGAGCCAACCUUGAAAUACCACCCUUUAAUGUUUGAUGUUCUAACGUUGGCCCCUUACCGGGGUUGCGGACAGUGUCUGGUGGGUAGUUUGACUGGGGCGGUCUCCUCCCAAAGCGUAACGGAGGAGCACGAAGGUUAGCUAAUCCUGGUCGGACAUCAGGAGGUUAGUGCAAUGGCAUAAGCUAGCUUGACUGCGAGCGUGACGGCGCGAGCAGGUGCGAAAGCAGGUCAUAGUGAUCCGGUGGUUCUGAAUGGAAGGGCCAUCGCUCAACGGAUAAAAGGUACUCCGGGGAUAACAGGCUGAUACCGCCCAAGAGUUCAUAUCGACGGCGGUGUUUGGCACCUCGAUGUCGGCUCAUCACAUCCUGGGGCUGAAGUAGGUCCCAAGGGUAUGGCUGUUCGCCAUUUAAAGUGGUACGCGAGCUGGGUUUAGAACGUCGUGAGACAGUUCGGUCCCUAUCUGCCGUGGGCGCUGGAGAAUUGAGGGGGGCUGCUCCUAGUACGAGAGGACCGGAGUGGACGCAUCACUGGUGUUCGGGUUGUCAUGCCAAUGGCACUGCCCGGUAGCUAAAUGCGGAAGAGAUAAGUGCUGAAAGCAUCUAAGCACGAAACUUGCCCCGAGAUGAGUUCUCCCUGAGACUUUAAGUCUCCUGAAGGAACGUU